RNAcentral lists this long non-coding RNA (1599 nucleotides) under Panax ginseng (ginseng). RNAcentral's name for it is "long non-coding RNA (PGIN_LNC006654)". Lineage: Eukaryota; Viridiplantae; Streptophyta; Magnoliopsida; Apiales; Araliaceae. The record is from RNAcentral.
UCGAAUUACUUUCAUUUUUGAAACAAUUAUACUACUCAGUAUUAUAAAUUAAUUGACCGGUUUUGAUUUUAAUUAUAUUAUCUAAAACUACAAAAAUAUAGUGUAUUGGAUGAACUUGGAGGGAAUGUGUAAUGGAGGGGAGCCAAGUCCGUGGAAAUUCAAAUGCAACACCUAACCCAUACCAGCUAUGAGCGGCAAUAGAGUAAUAUCGUGUGUUAGUUAAAUAGUGAACAAAUUAUCUAAAUGGAAUCAGUAAAUUUCAAAAAUCUUAUAGAAAUUAGAAUAUGACCCAUCAUUAUGCAAAUAUACCAUUAAAACUCAACUAACCAAUGCUCCUACUUACACUUUCAUUGUGUUCCAAGUUGUAAAAUGGAUGGAAAAUAAAAUAAAAUGACAGAAAACGCAGUUCUCUUGUUUUUUAUUUUUUUAUUGAAUAGAGAAGGAAAAUAUAAUUUACAAAAAGUUGGUCAUUUUUCUUGCCAAAAUUUUCGGUCAAAAAUGAACUGAUUUGUACAAAAAACUAAAUAACAUAACCUCCACAUACAUCCCAACAAAAUUAAUCUAAAAAUAAAAUAGUAAUCUUAAUCUAAAUGUAAAACAUAAGUUUCUUUCAUUAUUCCUUUAUAAACUCAAUACCAGCCUGAAAGAAAAGUUAAAAGUUUUAUGUUCUUUUCUUUUCUAUCAUAAAAUUUAAGUGUUCCAUUCUUUUCUUCUCAUCUCCUUGCUAAUUCUUUCCAUGAUAUUCUAAGUGGACUAGUGUUACCCUCUUUUUGAAGGAGUGUCAUGACUCGUGAUUUUAUUUUUUUUUCAAAAAAAAAAGUACUCUCUAGCUCAAAAUCAGUUAUAACUAUCAAAAACUGUUCUUCCCACUAAAGGUAAGCUCAUUCACCCAAUAAAUUACUCAUAAUCACCUAAAUAAAAAUCCAAGCACUUUUUCAUCAAACUUAGAGCAAAGUACGACUCUCUCUCUAGCUUUAAACAUGUAAAAUCAUAUAUGAUGACUACCCACAACUCAUUAUUAUUGAAACAAUAACAAAAUAAAAAUUAACAACGAAUUGGCAAUAGAGUUCAUAAAUAAAGACUACGCAUCAUCUAUCACCUACAUAUCAGCAAUAAAAUACACGAAAAAGUUUAUUAAAUUUAAAUUUUAAAAAAAAAUUAAAAAAAACUAUAAUUAUAAUACCAUAAAGUAUUUAAAAUACCUUUUUUCACAUGUAAAUUGAUGGAAGCACAGAAAAUUGGUCCCGCGUUAUUCUAAACCAAUGAACCGGAGGUCUACGUCUCGCAUCCAAGGCGUGAAUUGAACGAGAAGGGGCAACAACUGAAUCGAAAUUUGAAAUAAAUUCAAAGAUGAAGAUGCUGAUGAAGAUGAGCUUCUGCCUAUGAAAUCCAUAUAAAAAGAUGGCUGCCGAUGAGAGAGAAAUUAAGAGAAAAAUCGAUGUUCUCCUUCCUCUCAGGGUUUGUGAUGGUGGUGCCGGAAAAAGAUUUGGGGGCGGAGGAGAAAAUAAAGAAAAGUCAAAGACGCAUAAUCCACCACUUGUGGCGAAUUGUAAUUACUUAAUUACCCUUGGACUGGAGAAAUAUUUUUUUACUGAUGGA